AUGAGUAAUGGGCAAAGUUCCUAGGACACACUGUUGGUGGCAAAGCAGAAUUCAGAAUUCAAUUCAGAACUGUAGACUUCUACAGGGACUUAGAGAUCAUCAAUUCCAACCAUGUCAUUUUAGGCUAAGAAAAAAGGGUGAAUAACUUGCCUAUCAAAACUAGGAUUAGAACUCAGGUACUCUGUCUCCUGGAUUUAUUUCUUUCAACUCUACCAAAGGAAUGAUCUCACUUGGGUGAAACAGCCCCAGGAGGCUGAGUUUUAGAGUCCUACACGAAGAAACCUCAAACCCAGGAUUCCAGCCAAAAACAAUGAUUCUCAAGUUCCUAUGAAAUCCUGGAUGGAUGUUGAACUGGGCAACGUACAAGCUGACUCCCGUGGCAGAUGCAAGCCUCAACAGAGAUCCAGGGCGGACACUUCAAAGGGAGUGGAUGUGAUCAUGUGAGUCUGAGUCACACAAGAUACUCAUAUCUGCAGACCCACUGGCAAGUUUCCUUCUUGGGGAUUGCUUCUCGGCCGACUCACACGGCACAUCCUCAGAAUUGAUCAGCAAUCCAAGCUUCUGUGGAUCUCUUUGAAUGGCUCCAAUGAAAGAUCUUUGUCAUCACCAUCUGAAAUAGCCCAGAGUAACCUGCCGGAGGAUGGGAAAAUGCUUGGAAGAGAUCCCAGCUGUCCCAUUCAAGAUGAUUGUGGACCACCCUACAGUCAGCAACCAUCAAGCAUGUGAAAAAACCCGACCUAGAUAAGCACCCUGUCUGGCCUACAGCUAGCCAGAGAUGCAUCAUGAGCCUGGCCAAUAUCAGAAGAGCUGUCCAUCUGACCCAGAGGCAAUAAAUAAAAUUCCUGUAUUGGGCCACAAGAUUUAGGGUAGCUUGCUAUUUCACAGUGCUGAUACAUAAAGCAAAGUCCUUACUAUUUGUCCUCUGUUCGAGAGAAUCUGAAUAGACGAUUCUUACACAGAAGGUAACUCCAUGAUAUUUUGGCAGAUAAACCCUUGGCCACGCAGGUAAACACCUUUUGGUUUUACUGAUUUUUAUCAUGACCCCAUAACUCUCCCAACACUGGUGGACUGAGGCGAUGGCCAGAGAGAUAGUACAAAAUGAGAAGUAAAACCAAGCACUGAACAAUGUAAUAGUAAAUAAAAAUACAAAGUGACAUUAUGUAAAAGCAUUGCAAAA
This is a long non-coding RNA of Marmota monax (woodchuck), 1177 nucleotides long. RefSeq lists it as uncharacterized. The record is from RefSeq and is a predicted model, not a curated record. The transcript is spliced from 4 exons. NCBI's taxonomy places the organism in Eukaryota, Metazoa, Chordata, Mammalia, Rodentia, Sciuridae.